AUCCAGCUGACGACUCCCAAAUAGGACGAAAUACACGUCCUGGAU
Molecule: non-coding RNA, 45 nt
Filed under: Schistosoma mansoni
Lineage: Eukaryota; Metazoa; Platyhelminthes; Trematoda; Strigeidida; Schistosomatidae
Source: RNAcentral